This 13519-nucleotide long non-coding RNA is filed under the name Ananas comosus (pineapple). Its description in RNAcentral is "long non-coding RNA (ACOM_LNC019459)". Lineage: Eukaryota; Viridiplantae; Streptophyta; Magnoliopsida; Poales; Bromeliaceae. The record is from RNAcentral.
AAAAAAAUAAGUUGUGGGUUACCCUGUGCUUCAAAAAACACCAUAGAGCCCUAUGCUCUACUUAGUUUUUCAAUGAAUAGAGAGAAAAAAGAGAAAAGAGAAAAGAAUAAGGAGAAAAAAAACUAUUUUUACGUUUAGGAAAAACAUGGAGAGAAACAAACGGAAGCAUCCUUCUAAAAUAAUCAUUUCUUUUAUUUACAAGUGUCAUCAGGUCGGAAUCGGGCAGGUUUUCAAAAAUCCAAAUUCAAACCCGGCUACAAACCUGAAAUGCAAAUCCGAACCCGAAUUCGACGGAUUUUAAAAAUCCAUAUCAAAAUCUGAACCUGAAUCUAACGGAUUUUAAAAAUCCAUAUCAAAUCCGAACCUGACCAAAAUAUCAGAAACCCAAACCUAAAUCCGAACACGAAUCCGAUAACCCGAACCUGAAAUAAUUAUUUUAAUUUCUUUACCAUAUUUCAAAAUAUAUUAUAUGAAAUCUAUAUAUAUUUUAAAUACAAAUUCAAAUAUAACAUCAAACAUACAUAUAUAUAUAUAUAUAGAGAGAGAGAGAGAGAGAGAGAGAGAGAUAGAGAGGGAGAGAGAGAGUUCGGCUACAAUACUAUUAGUAGCACGGAGGCCUCUGUAAUACCAAGUUGUUUUUGAUGCUGUGGCUUCCGAAUCGAUGAUCGACUCUAUUAGAUAUGAUCUACGCUAUUGGAAAUAUUUUAAAACUAAAUUAUAUAUUUUUUCGACAUUAUUUGACUAGUGAUCAAAGGGUCUCAAAAUUGACAAUUAUAAUGGCCGAUGCGAUGUGUUUGUGAAUUUAAUGAUAUAAAAUAAUCUAAAUCAGACAAAAUUUUUAUAGAAAAUUCUUUUUAUUAUUUAGAGUAAGAUCUGUACCUCUAAUUUUAAAUUCAAGUCUUUUAUCAUCAUUUUUUAUGAAGAUUUUAGACUAUUCAUUUGAUACGUAAAUAAUGUCUAAAAAUUAUGAAAUGUGAUUUCGUAACACUUUUAGUAGUGUAUACCAAGUAUAACAAAGACGAUCGUCGAUUCGGAAAAUGCAUCAUCGAAAAACAACUUGAUAGCACUAAGACCUCCGUGCCAUCGAUAGUAUAGUAGUCGGACUAUAUAUAUAGAGUUGAGUUAGAAUACUCUCAAAAGCACCAAGAGGGUGGUGCUUUUGAGUUUUUAGCCAUUGGAUGGAGAGAUAUAAGGUUGGGAUGAUGGUGGUAGGUAAUGGUAGGUGGUGGUAGGUGGAAUAGUGUUUAAUCCAAGGGCCAUUGGUUGAAGAUGUGUGGUUAGAAUGAUAGUGGUCCCUUAGGGUUGAGUGGGUGGUUGGUUGAAUAGUAUGAUUUAACAGGUGAAAAUGAUCAAAAGGGUAGAUCUAACGGCGAAAAACUAAUGAGUACAAAGAAACUUAUACUCAUAAAAGUAUAGUAGCCGGACUAUAUAUAUAUAUAUAUAUAUAUAUAUAUAUAUAUAUAGAAUAUAUAUAUAUAUAUAUAUAUAUAUAUAUUGAUCCAACCUUAUGAUAAUUAUCGUGGUUACUGAACCACGAUAAUUCAAAAGACGGGAAUCUAAUUUUCUACACACCAAUCCUUUACUACACUCAGGGGGAUCCCAACUCACCCACCAACCAACUUAUUAUAUUAGCUUGCCUACUUUUACUAUUUUUUCCAUUUAGAUUGCCGUUUUUUGAACUAUCGUGUUUAACUGAACCACGAUAAUUCAAAAGACGGGAAACUAAUUUUCUGCACGCCAAUCCUACUAUACUCGGGGAAUCCCAACUCACCCACCAACCAACUUAUCAUAUUAGCUUGCCUACUUUUACUAUUUUUUCCAUUUAAAUUGCCGUCUUUUGAACUAUCGUGUUUUACGAAGCACGAUAGCUAGCUAUCAUAGGGUAGACNNNNNNNNNNNNNUAAUCUAGAGUAUUUGAAGUACCUAGAAAUAAAUUUUGUGAUUUUUCGAUACCAUUUGCCUAGUGAUCGAAGGGGCUCAAAAUUAAUAAUUUUAAUGAUCGUGGUGAGCCGUUUGAAAGUUUAACAGUGUAGAAAUAUUCAAAUCAUAUAAAAUUUUGAUAGAAAAUUAUUUAUACUAUAAUAAAACAAGAUUAAAAUCUUUAAUUUAAAAUUUUAAUAUCAUAUCAUCACAUUUUGUAAGAUUUUUAUUUUCAGCCGUUGAUUUUGAGCCACUUCGAUCACUAGGCAAAUGAUAUCGAAAAACCGCAAAAUUUAUUUUCUAGGUACUUUAAAUAUUCUAAAUCAAGUCUAACGGAGCCGAUCGUCGAUUCGAAAGUCCCAACAUUGAAAACGACUUGGAAGCACGGAGAGUUCCGUGCUUCUAGAACCAUACCAGCCUCACUCUCUCUCUAUAUAUAUAUAUGGAGCACAGCUACUGUACUUUCAGAAAUAUAAAGGAGUUAGUGCUUCCAACCUUUUGGGCCUUGGAUCAACUUUUUUGACUAUUUCUGACCUAUUUUCUCCUCUUUUCUUUUCAUAACCCAAACGAUAAAAUAAAAAUUUACUUUUCUUUUUUCUUUUCUCUCUAUCCAAAUAAAGCAUCAGUUUUUUCCCAAUAAAAUAUGUGCCCUAUCAUAGAUUUGUUGCUUAGAAAACAUUAGAAUUAAAAAGACCCAUUUGAAUUUUUUUUAUAAAUAAUCUUACUGAAAAUUUUAUUUAUAAAAAUAGGCCUCCUUUAAAGUUUAUUGCAAAAUUAGUCCUCAAAUAGGCCAGGUCAGCUUGGGGGGUACAACGUUUAUAUGCGAUGAAUGGUUCACCGCAUUCACGUAUGCGUUGAACCAUUCACCGCAUUUGUGGGCCUAUGGUACAGCCGAUGAAAAAUGAAGAAUGCGGUAAAUGGUACAGCCGCUUUUAUAUACGAUGAGUCAUCCACCGCCUUUAUAAGUUUUAUCCAUGUCCAACUGUUGCAGGGGAACUACAUGAAGGCAGUGAAUGAUUCACUACCUUCAUAGAAUUUUUAAAUCCUUAUGAAAGCGGUGAACCAUUUACCGCUUUUAAGUGAAAGCGGUAAAUGGUUCACUGCUUUUAUUCUCUCUCGCCACCUCACUGCCUACAUGGCAGUUUUGAACCUAUUUUCGCAAAUACAAAUUUCAGAGGCUUAUUUUUAAAAUAAAAGAGUUGGAUGAGACUAGUUGGCUAAAAAUUCCGACCCAUUUGGCAAUUAUAGUAAUUCUUAUUUGUUUGUAAUUUAGAAGAGGGAAUUGCCUUAUUAGUCACUAAACUUUUAGUCGAGUUUCAUUUUGGUCCUCAAACCUUUGAUUUCAGCAUUCAAGACCCUAAACUUUUGAUAACAUUUCAAUUUAGUCCUUAAACUUUGAAUGGUAUUUGGAAUGUACGAAAACUGAGUAUAGUAUAUCGAACUUUAUCCAAAUUAAUAUAGUACGAAUUAAAGCCAUACUAGACAUGAUUAAAAUAUAUUGAAGAAACUUAGCUGAGUUUGAAAUGAGUUAGAAACAAUUUGAAUUGAAACGGAGUUUCGAAAGAAGUAGAAAUAUCGUUGUAGACUUUCUAGAUGCCUGAAAAGCAUUUCAGGCGCUCGAAAUCUUUUGGAUAGCCCAGUCAAGCAUCCAAUUCAAGCCAACGCUCUACCAGAAAGUAAGGAAAUAUGGAGGAAUAAACAUUCGGGUGUCUAAAUUAUCCUAUAGGCAUCCGAAAUACCUUUCGAAUUGCACCUGCGGGCACCAAAAACCACUUCCAGAUGCUCAACUCAAGAGGAGGGAUCGCUUGGCUCGUUAAUUAUUUGGGCACCCGGUUUAGUUUUGUCGGCAUACGAAAAGAGGUAUCAGGCAGUUGAACGAACAUUUGGAACAACUUUCAAAUAUUAAACCAGAAGACUUUGGAGUUGUUGCCUAAAGCUUUCGAGCACUCGAAAGAUCAAGCUAGCACCUGAAACCUAGUAUAGAGGUAGCAAUUCGUUCAGUUGUAAAUACAAAUACGUGGAGGGUCAAAGUGUAAUUAUAGCACUCCUAUAAUUAAGUAUGCCUUUAUAGUCAACCCCUUUCCCACACUCUAAUUUCCCCAUUCUUUCUACUUUCUAUUUCUAAAAAAUGAGAAAGGAACCCUAAUGCUACUGUUGUUGGGUCUUGGAGCUCUACCUUCUUGCAAGCUUGGAGAAGACAAGAACACUUUGGAAAGAGCUCUAGAAGGGUGAAGGCAAACUUCCGAACUCUAUUUCUCUUCUUUUGAAGGAGAGGAGGUGAGUCGGAGUUUCUAGAAUUUACUUUGAGGUUUUUUCCAAAUAAGUGUUUGGAGGUCCUAACUUGGUUAGAACUCCAUCUGUAGGAUUUCGUAGGAGCCUCAAGAGCUUAAUGAAUUACUCUAAGAAGGGUUCAACAUCGUACUAGGUAAGGUGCGAGCUUGAUCAGACCUCGAGUCGGUCGAAGUGAUUGGCUAAUGAGUGGUCAACUAUGUAUUCAUGAAAAGUAAUCCAUAUAGAGAUAGCAAUUGACAUACUCCAUUAUUGUAGAGGCAUAAUAGCAAACUUUCCUUUUUAUGGGCGUAUGUUAUUUUCAUACCUAAUAUUUGAUAUUUCAUUAUUAUACCUCUAGUUGACCUAGUGGAUAGAGCAUUCCUUACGACAAUUAUACUCACUAGUCUAGGGAUUAUUUCAUAUAGUUUUCACACCCUAUUUUCGCUUCUCUUUCAGAGUUCCCUUCCUUCUUCAUUAGUGAUCAUGUUAAGGGCGUGCCAUAGCUACCUUCUCACCUACCAUCUUUGUGUUGUUUAGAGGUGGAAUCUUUAUGUCAAAACAUUAGUAUUUUAGAGAAUUGCAAUAUUUUGAUGAUACUUUUAGACAUUGAAUGGAACUUGUAUUUGUAAUAGAAUAGAAGUAUGCUUUUAUACUCCAACUCGAGUGAAAUUCUUAUGUAUUUGUAUGAGUUGAAGGCUGUCGUUUGUCGCUUCAUAUUUAUGGGGGCCCUAUGCACAUGCAUAGUGGAUCUGGCCACGCUACCAAGGGUGCUUCCACUCAAGCCUAAUGCGUGACAUUCACUACCAUGCCCCUACUAUGGCUCCCACGAUAAUGCCGGCCAUUGGAGUGGCUAAGGACCAAUCAACUCGGAAGGGAUUGGUGGGAGGCUAGCGAGGAGGAACCAGAGGUAAAGAAAGAGAUGGGAGGGAGAGAAUGAGAAAAAAAGUGAGAAUAAAAGAAAUAAAGCGUUUUGACUGAGAGAAGGUGAAAAGCGGUGUGGAUCGAAAAUGAAGUUGCAGGAGAAGGAGAUGAAGAAAGAAGAGGAAAAGAGAAAGAGGGGGGGGGGAGAAAAAGAGAGAGAGGGAGAAGGUGGAGGGAAAGAGUGGCGGGCGGGCAAAAAGAGAGUGAAAGUGAGGGGGGUAUAUAUAUAUAUAGAGGGGAAGGGAAGGCCAUGCAUUCUCAUGUGCUCUCGCAUGCUAAUUAUAGGAUAGGCAAAGAGGGAAAAGACAGAAGUAGGGACGGAGUAAGCAAAGCUAUUAGCCGGUCGGCCGACCAGCCCUUCGUGGUCAAUUGUAAGGUUGCAGGCCGAAGUUAAAAAAAUCUAAAAUUUUAAAUUUUAAGAAAAAUAAAUAAAAAAUGAUCUAAAAUUUCAAAAGAUGGGGGAUCUAAAGUUUUACAUGUUACAAUCAACUUGCCACAAAGUGAACACAGUGGAUAGAAAUUUUUAAUUCAAGAUUAGAGUUGUUUGUCAUAUUUUAAAUUGUUAAAAUAUUUUUUUCAAGAAAACUUCAACUAAUUUAGAAUAUUCUACAUUUUUAAAUGAGAAAACACUCUGUACAGGACGUUUAAAAUUAUCACUUUUGAAUACGCUUGACCGCUAGGUAAAUAAUAUCGAAAAAUUCCAAAAUUUGACAAGUAAAAAUAUUUAAAUGUUCCAAAUCUUAUUUAACCGUAUCAACCACGAAAACAAAUCUUCAAACAUCAAAUCAACUUUUAUAGCAUGAAGAGUCUACUGCUAUUAAUAGCAUUCCAGCCUAACUCUGUACUCUAAUAAUUCAAACAUAAUAUUUAUUUAAAAGAUAUACCAAAUAAAAUACUCGCGCAUUAAACAAAGGCUACAAUAUUGGGCUCACUUCUAGAUUCUAGAACAUUUUGGGGAAGUAAUUUGGUAGGAUAUAUAUACUUCAUUACCUCCCUUCUACUUUAUUUUGUCCACAUCAUCCUCCACCACAUCCAUUAACCCAACCACCACACAACACGCUUGAGACCAAAAACUUUCCGUUUGAUUGCAUGAAGUGUCAAACCCUAGCUAGGAUUUGUCUCGGUCUUUUUUAAUGAAAGAUUUGCUUAGGUCACUUGUGUUCGAUCUACUUUAUAUAUAUAUAUUAAAGAGAAAAGGAUAGGUAUUAUUAUUAGUGGUCUUUUUUUGGAAUGCUUUUGUAGUAGCUUUUACAUAAUUUAUUGAAAAUGGAUAGUUGAUUUGAGUCUAAUCUAAUGAGUUUGUUUUUGCUUGAGUUAUAAGCUUGACAUAAUAUAUUAGCUUGGUGUUAUCAUGUCUUGUAUUAUAAUGCGUGAUCUUUUUUUUUUCCGGUAAGUAGUAUUAUUGUACUUUAAUUAAUUUAUCUUCCUUUUAUUAAAGUGCCGAAAUUUAGGACACGUGUCCAGUAAAUCAAAUAUUAAAGGAUAUAAUAAUAUAAUAAUAUAUAUAUAUAGUGAGACUGGUAUGCUUCUGGAAUAAGAAAGCUUUCCGUACUUUCAAAUCAUUUUCAAUGUUGAGACUUUCGAAUUGACUAUCGUCUCCGUUAGAUUUGAUCUAGAGUACGUAGUUGAAAUACCUAGAGAAUAAAUUUUGCGAUUUUUCGAUAUCAUUUGCCUAGUGAUCGAAGGGGCUCAAAAUCAACGACUGAAAAUAAAAAUCUUACAAAAUGUGAUGAUAUUAUAUUAAAAUUUUAGAUCAAAGAUAUUGAUAUUAUUUUAUAUAGUAUAAAAAAUUUUCUAUCAAAAUUUCACAUGAUUUGGAUAUUUCUAUACCGUUAAACUUGCAAAUGGCUUACCGUCGCCAUUAAAAUUAUUGAUUUUGAGCCCUUUCGAUCACUNNNNNNNNNNNNNNNNNNNNNNNNNGCUAGGUCUGAAUACUAUUCUUUUACUAUCAAUUUUUAACUAUUGAAUGAAAAAUAUAAUGUUAGAUGAUAUUAGUCUUAAGGUUAGUGAUCCUACUGAUUAUAAUAUUAUCCAUAUGGUAUAGAAUGAGAAAGUAAUUAUCCAAAGGCUAAAAAUUUGAUAGUAAAAAAGACAUUUACCUAUAAAUAGUAUUCAGCUCUCUCUCUCUCUCUCCUCUCUCUCUCUCUAUAUUAUACUAAAUAAUAUAUUAAAUGAAAUUGGGUUAAAUAGUAUUAAUAAUAAUUUGGACCUUUUCUGCUAUCGAUUUUUAACACUUGAAUGAAAAAAUUACGUAGGGUUAAGAUAUAGCGGUCCCUAGGGUUUAGUGUGGUCCGAUAGGGUUUGAGAAUAGUGUUUGGUUGAAUAAUAUAAUCUAAAAGGUGGAGUUGAUACAUCUGUAGAUCUAACUACUAAAAAAAUCGAUAGCAAAAAAGUCAAAUAAUAUAAUAUAUUCUACUCAUUCUCUCUCUCUAUAAUAUACAUAUAUUAGAGCUACAUGCUUUUUGAAGUAUAGAGUAGACGUUUUGGUGCUUCUACUUUUUAAGCCUUUCGAUCAACCCUUUAAUCAUUUUUGACAUUGGAUUAAAUUAUACAUAAGGGUACCACUUUAACUAUCAUGAGAUGGGAACCACUAUCAUCUACGACCCUAAUAUCCUUUAAUCAACAAUCCAACAAAGUCGGAAGCAUCAUCUCUCUUUAUAACUUCAAAAGUAUAUAUACCUACACUAUAUAUAUAUAUAUAUAUAUAUAGUAUAUAUAUAUAUAUAUAUAUAUAUAUUAUAUAGAGUUUCUGUAUGCUUAUGAACACGGAGGCCUCCGCGUGCUUCCAAGUCGUUUUCGAUGUUCGGACUUUCGACAAUCGACGAUGCGCUCCGUUAGAAUUGAUCUAGAGUAUUUGUAAGUACCUAGAAAAUAAAUUUUGUGAUUUUUCUGAUAUCAUUUGCCUAGUAAUCGAAGGGGCUCAAAUCAAUAAUUUUAUACGACUGUGGGGGCCGUGCAAGUAACGUGUAAAAAUCCAAAUCAACAUAAAAUUGAUAGAAAAUUUUUUAUACCAUAAUAAAAUAAAUCAAUAACUUGAUCUAAAGUUUUAAUGUCAUUAUCAUCAUAUUUGUUAAGAUUUUAUUCAGGCCGUGAUCAUUAUGAGCCACUGACAUCAGCAAAUGAUGUUCGAAAAAUCGUAAAAUUUAAAAUUUCUAGUACUUCAAAUACUCCUAGAUCAAAGUCUAACGGAGCCGAUCGUCGAUUCGAAAGCUCCAACAUGAAAAAGAAACAACUGUUAAGAAGCACGUGCUUCCAUAAGCAUAACUAACCGCGCUCCUCUCUCUCUCAUCUCUCUCACUCGCCUCUCCUCUCUCUCUCGAGGUCAUCAUCUCCUCGGGCGGGUCUCCUCCCCACCUCCUCUCUCCUCUCUCCCUUUCUCUCUCCUUCUAUAUAUAAUUAUAUACCAUUAUAAUAUAUUAUAUAUAUAUAUGAAGAGCUCACUAUGCUAUCGGAAGCACUGACUCGUGCUUCAGCUCGUUUUUGAAUGUUGCGACUUUCGAAAAUCGCGAUCAGCAUCCGCUAAACUUGAUCUAAGAGUAUUUGGAGUACCUUAGAAAAUAAAUUUUAUUUAUUUUUCAUAUCAUUUGCCUAGUGAUCGAAAUGGCCAAUAAUCAACAAAUUUCAAUGCCGUAGGAGGCCACUUCAAUUUAACGGUGUAGAAAUAUCCAAAUCAUGUGAAAUUUUGAUAGAAAAUUCUUUAUACUAUAUAAAACAAGAUCAAUAUCUUUGAUUUAAAUUUUAAUCGUCAUAUAUUCACAUUUUGUAAGAAUUUUUAUUUUCCAGCCUGUUGAUUUUGAGCCCCUUCGUUCACUAUGCAAAUGAAUAUUCGUAAAAUCAUAAAUUUAUUUCAGUACUUAAAAUACUCUAGAUCAAAUUUAACGGAGCUGAUCGACGAUUCGAUAAGUCCACAUCGAAAACGAUACCUGAACACCGAAGCUCCUGACUUCCGAUAGGCAUAGUACCUCACUCUAUAUUAUAUAUAUUAUAUAUAUAUAACUAUAUAUAUAGGAUAGAGAGAGAGAGAGAGAGAGAGAGAGAGAGAGCAGUAAGGCUUCUAUGGCUUCUAACACACGAAUUCCUCCGCGCUUCCAAGUCGUUUUCGAUGUGGACUUUCGAAUUGAUCGCCUCCAUUAGACUUAUUAAAGUAAUGAAUACUUAGAAAAUAAAUUUUGUGAUUGAUAUCAUUUGCGGGCUAUAGGUGGAGUUGAUUACAUAGUAGCUCUAAUAUAUGUAUAUCUAUAGAGAGAGAGAAUUGAGCUAGAAUACUAUUAAUAUUAUUUGGACUCUUUUUGCUAUCGAUUUUUUAGUAGUUAGAUCUACAAUGUAAUCAACUCCACCUUUUAGAUUAUAUUAUUCAACCAAACACCUAUUCAACCCUAUCGGACCACCACUAAACCCUAGGGGACCGCUAUCAUCUUAACCCUACAAAUUUUCAUUCAAGUGUUAAAAACUCGAUAGCAGAAAGUCCAAAUAUUAUUAAUACUAUUUAAGCCCAAUUUCAUUUAUAUAUAUAUAUAUAUAUAUAGAGAGAGAGAGAGAGAGAGAGAGAGCUAGAAUACUAUUUAUAGUAAAAGGUCUUUUUUACUAUCAAAUUUUUAGCCUUUGGAUUAAUUACUUUCAUCAUUUCUAACCAUUGGAUAAAAUAUUAUAAUCCAGUAGGGAUCACUCAACCUUAAGGGACUAAUAUCAUCCUAACCUUAUAAUUUUUCAUUCAAUAGUUAAAAACUUGAUAGUAAAAGAAUAGUAUUCCAGACCUAGCUCUCNNNNNNNNNNNNNNNNNNNNNNNNNNNNNNNNNNNNNNNNNNNNNNNNNNNNNNNNNNNNNNNNNNNNNNNNNNNNNNNNNNNNNNNNNNNNNNNNNNNNNNNNNNNNNNNNNNNNNNNNNNNNNNNNNNNNNNNNNNNNNNNNNNNNNNNNNNNNNNNNNNNNNNNNNNNNNNNNNNNNNNNNNNNNNNNNNNNNNNNNNNNNNNNNNNNNNNNNNNNNNNNNNNNNNNNNNNNNNNNNNNNNNNNNNNNNNNNNNNNNNNNNNNNNNNNNNNNNNNNNNNNNNNNNNNNNNNNNNNNNNNNNNNNNNNNNNNNNNNNNNNNNNNNNNNNNNNNNNNNNNNNNNNNNNNNNNNNNNNNNNNNNNNNNNNNNNNNNNNNNNNNNNNNNNNNNNNNNNNNNNNNNNNNNNNNNNNNNNNNNNNNNNNNNNNNNNNNNNNNNNNNNNNNNNNNNNNNNNNNNNNNNNNNNNNNNNNNNNNNNNNNNNNNNNNNNNNNNNNNNNNNNNNNNNNNNNNNNNNNNNNNNNNNNNNNNNNNNNNNNNNNNNNNNNNNNNNNNNNNNNNNNNNNNNNNNNNNNNNNNAUAUAUAUAUAUAUAUAUAUAUACACGUGUAUAUAUAUAUAUAUAUAUUCGAGCUUUUCGAGCUUAAUUCGAACGAGCCGAGUAAUACUCAAGCUCGGCUUGAUAUAAAUUUAGAGCUUUUUUUUUUGUUCAAGUUUGGCUCAUUUAAUUUCGAGCCAAGCUCGAGCGAGCCGAAUUUCCAGCCGAAUGCGAGACGAACGCGAGCCGGCUCGCUCAUUUGCCAACCCUAAUCAUGCGGGCGCCUGUGUGCGUGCGCAUACACACAUACGAGAAAGUUUAUUAUAUGACAGUCACACAAUAUCAUUUACAAUUAGUCAAUCAUAAUUUUUCUUAUGUGAUAAAAGUUUAAAAUAUUUUUUCCUUAAAUUAUGAUAAGAUGGAUAAAAUUCAGAAAUAUAUUUUGAUUGGUUAAAAAUAUCAUGUCACUAACAUGACCAUUAUAUUCUAGACUUUUUUCACGCGCACACAAAUCUGAAUACUUUUCACCAAUAAAUGGAAAGAAAAAGAAUGAGUCAAUUUAAAAAAAAAAAAGAAAGGACAGAAAAGACAGCAUUGAGCGAGUCAAGCUAGUCAACAUGGCCGACAAUAUUGUCACAACCAUGUCAAACGAUUGGUGGCCGCUCACAUCAUUUUAUAGCUAAAAGGGCAAUAUUGUAAUUUUGGUGUGUUAUUGUGUCAAUUUUGAGUUUGGGUUUCAAAAAAAAAAAAAAAAAUCUAAUAAAUUUGAUAAAUACAUAAAAUAAACAAAGGGAUGUAGAGGAGGGGAUUUCAAGUGUUAGGGUUAUGUUUCUUUCAACAACCAAUUUAAAUCCUGUUAGUUUUAGGAUCCACGUUUUAAGAUCAAAAUAUAAUAAAAAAUAAUUCCUAAUUAAAAAUUUGAAUAAAUUUAUGUAUAAUCAUUAUUAAUCAGUGUACAAUUCUUUUCUUAAAGAAUAGUAUCUAACGUACCCUUCAAACAGUUUUCUAUAAUCACUUCAGAAAGAUUGCUUUUCUGUUGGAUUCGAUCAAACGCUUUAUAAUUUUUUAACUAAAAUUAAUUUGGCAGAAAUCAAUUUUUUAAAACUUAUGCCAAAUAGCUCCAAUGUCAUAAGAGAAAUCUAUGUAAUAUUUGUGACACGUAGGAUAAGAAAGGGACACGAAAAUCAUAUUCUUGCUUAUAUUUUAUGGAAUCCAUUCUUGCCUAUAAUAUAACUCCUUGUCACUGUCUUCUCCAGUUUCCCCGGCCUUGCAGAAAUUUUUUUUUUGAUUUUUAUAUACAUAUUAAAAUCAUUUUAUGACAGCUAUAAACUCAUCAUUUAAAGUAUAACAUAAGUAAUUGCUAAAAGCUUAAAAAAUCAAACAUCAUAAAACUAAUAAAUUGUGUAAUAGCUUCAAAUUUUCAUUCACAUUUCAUAAACCUGGUAUAUUAAUGAUAUUUAUAUUAUUUUAUACACGUAAGUAUCAUUCUAUAUUUUAAGUAUUAUAUAUAUGACAAGCACAAUAUAUAUAUUUUACACAUUUUACAGUGAUAGAUCCUGCCAGGAGGGAUUUAGACUCCGUAGGUACAGGAUCCUCACGGGGACCCAAAUUUGCAAGAACAUAUGUAAUUUUUAGAAAAAACUUAAAAUACCACCCAUAUUAUUUCACACUUUCUUACUUUAAUAUUUUAUAAUUUAAAGUGUAUCAAUUUAGUACCAUGUGAUUUUAUUUAUAUUUUUUUUAUUAUCGAUUUCACUAUUUUUUUUCAUUAAAUUAGUGACAAAAUUAAAACUAAAUGGUACUAAAGUGAAUAUCUGAUAGACCUAGGUGGGUAUCUGAAGUUUUUUUUUAUAUAUAAUUUAACGAAAUAUUAACAAAAAGCUGACGAAAAGAUAAAAAUAAAACCACAUGACACUAACUUGAUACACUUUAAAUCACAUGGCACUAAAGUGAGAAAGUGCAAAACCACAGGGGUGGUUUUUAAAGUUUACCCAAACUUUUUAUUAGGGAUGUUAACUGGUCGGAUUUGGGGAGGAUUUUCAAAAACUCGAACCUGAUGGAUUUUGAAAAUUCAUAUCCAAAUUUGAAUUUGACCAAAAAUUUGAAAUUAGAAUCCAAAAAUCCGAACAUAAAAUAAUUAUUUCUCUUUACCAUAUUUCAAAAUAUAUUAUAUAAAAAUUUAAAAUUUUAAAAUACAAGUUCAAAUAUAACAUCAAAUAUUCAUAUAUAUAUUAUGCAAUGUAAAAUCAAUCCGGGUUUGAGUUUGGGUUCGGAUCAAAUCCAAAACAUGUUGGGUUUUAAUUUUUUAUACCCGAAUUUAAAACCAUAUCUGUUUAGCUUCAGAUAAUUCCAUCUCAUUCGAAUUUAGAUUUAGAUAAAAUUUUGAGUAUUCAUAUCUAUUGACAUCCCUUGUGUUAGUAUAAGCGACAGAAGCAGAGAGGGCGAUAUUACAGUCUGGAGGAAAAGAAAAAAAAAAAAGAAAAAAGGAUUAAUUAUGAGAUAUGAUUUGAUAUAAUAUGGAGCCAUGUAAAAUUCAAAGAUAAGAAAAAUAGAUAGAAAAACAAAAUAAUUGUCUAUAUAUCUCUAAAAGUUUCGAAAAUAUCUUAUUUAUCUAUACUUUUUUUUCUCUUUCCAAUAUACCUCUCAUAUAUUCCAAUGUUAUCUCAAAAUAUUUCUAUAUUGCCACCCGUUAAGUUAACUUGGGUUAAAUAUGAGUUAAAUAUCUAUCAGAAUUAAAAUAAAUCAAAAUGUCUUUUUUGACUUUAACUUAAGAGCAAAUAAAAAAUAUUGGUGGUGGUAAAAGGAUAUAUUUAAAAACACAAAAAUUAAAAUAUCUAUUAUGCCCUAGCUUAUGGGUAAAUAAGAAAAAUCGGUGAUUAUAGAUGGCUAUAUUUGAACGGGUAAAAUAGUAAUUUUAUAGAAAUAACAAGUAUUGCUAACAGUUUAUUAAUAAAAUUUAAAGUUAUAUUUGAAAUAGGUUGGAAUGUUAAAAAAUAUUUUCAAUAUUAGUCUUCUAAGAUAUAUAGAUAAAUUAGAAAGUCAGAAACAUUUCAGGAAUAUAUAAGUAAUUGUCCCGGAAAAAAAACUCUCCGUUGUACAUUAGAUA